GAAAGUGUGGCUCAGUGGUUGAACAUCUGCUUGGCAUGUAGAAGGUCCAGGUUCAGUCCCCAGUAUCUUCA
RNAcentral lists this transfer RNA (71 nucleotides) under Sphaerodactylus townsendi. RNAcentral's name for it is "tRNA-Ala". It matches the Rfam family "tRNA". Rfam says of the family: Transfer RNA (tRNA) molecules are approximately 80 nucleotides in length. Their secondary structure includes four short double-helical elements and three loops (D, anti-codon, and T loops). Further hydrogen bonds mediate the characteristic L-shaped molecular structure. tRNAs have two regions of fundamental functional importance: the anti-codon, which is responsible for specific mRNA codon recognition, and the 3' end, to which the tRNAs corresponding amino acid is attached (by aminoacyl-tRNA synthetases). tRNAs cope with the degeneracy of the genetic code in two manners: having more than one tRNA (with a specific anti-codon) for a particular amino acid; and 'wobble' base-pairing, i.e. permitting non-standard base-pairing at the 3rd anti-codon position. Lineage: Eukaryota; Metazoa; Chordata; Lepidosauria; Squamata; Sphaerodactylidae. The record is from RNAcentral.